Molecule: non-coding RNA, 66 nt
Filed under: Tripos fusus
Lineage: Eukaryota; Dinophyceae; Gonyaulacales; Ceratiaceae
Source: RNAcentral
GGGAAGUUGUACCCAGCAGCGGUGAAGGUGACCAAGGCGGAGGAGGACAGGAACACGCAGAGGCGC